AUUGAACGCUGGCGGCAGGCUUAACACAUGCAAGUCGAGCGGGGUGAUGGUGCUUGCACUAUCACUUAGCGGCGGACGGGUGAGUAAUGCUUAGGAAUCUGCCUAUUAGUGGGGGACAACAUCUCGAAAGGGAUGCUAAUACCGCAUACGUCCUACGGGAGAAAGCAGGGGAUCACUUGUGACCUUGCGCUAAUAGAUGAGCCUAAGUCGGAUUAGCUAGUUGGUGGGGUAAAGGCCUACCAAGGCGACGAUCUGUAGCGGGUCUGGGAGGAUGAUCCGCCACACUGGGACUGAGACACGGCCCAGACUCCUACGGGAGGCAGCAGUGGGGAAUAUUGGACAAUGGGGGGAACCCUGAUCCAGCCAUGCCGCGUGUGUGAAGAAGGCCUUAUGGUUGUAAAGCACUUUAAGCGAGGAGGAGGCUCUUUUGGUUAAUACCCAAGAUGAGUGGACGUUACUCGCAGAAUAAGCACCGGCUAACUCUGUGCCAGCAGCCGCGGUAA
RNAcentral lists this ribosomal RNA (503 nucleotides) under uncultured bacterium. RNAcentral's name for it is "partial 16S ribosomal RNA". It matches the Rfam family "Bacterial small subunit ribosomal RNA", at positions 30 to 523 of the family's 1533-position model. The record is from RNAcentral.